Molecule: ribosomal RNA, 473 nt
Filed under: uncultured bacterium
Lineage: Bacteria
Description: bacterial SSU rRNA
Rfam family: Bacterial small subunit ribosomal RNA
Source: RNAcentral
ACGAACGUUGGCGGCGUGGAUUAGGCAUGCAAGUCGAACGAAUCCCGGAGGGCUUGCUCUCCGGGGGAAGUGGCGAAAGGGGCAGUAAGGCGUGGGUAACCUACCCCGGGGACGGGGAUAGCCACCCUAACGGGUGGGUAAUACCCGGCGAGCUCGUGGGGACGCCUGUCCGCACGAGGAAACGAGUUUCGCCUUGGGAGGGGCUCACGUGGUAUUAGCUGGUUGGUAGGGUAACGGCCUACCAAGGCUCAGAUGCCUAGCAGGUGUGGGAGCACGACCUGCGCCACUGGCACUGCGACACUGGCCAGACUCCUACGGGAGGCUGCAGUCGAGGAUCUUCGGCAAUGGGCGCAAGCCUGACCGAGCGACGCCGCGUGCGCGAUGAAGGCCUUCGGGUUGUAAAGCGCUGUCGAGGGGGAGGAAAGCCCGCAAGGGUUUGACCUAGCCCUGGAGGAAGCACGGGCUAAGUUCGU